GAGAAAGUGACAGAGUGGCUAUGCGUUUGACUUGAAAUUAAAAUACGGGGGUUCGAUUCCUUCCUUUCUUG
RNAcentral lists this transfer RNA (71 nucleotides) under Odorrana macrotympana. RNAcentral describes it as "tRNA-Ser". It matches the Rfam family "tRNA". From Rfam's summary of the family: Transfer RNA (tRNA) molecules are approximately 80 nucleotides in length. Their secondary structure includes four short double-helical elements and three loops (D, anti-codon, and T loops). Further hydrogen bonds mediate the characteristic L-shaped molecular structure. tRNAs have two regions of fundamental functional importance: the anti-codon, which is responsible for specific mRNA codon recognition, and the 3' end, to which the tRNAs corresponding amino acid is attached (by aminoacyl-tRNA synthetases). tRNAs cope with the degeneracy of the genetic code in two manners: having more than one tRNA (with a specific anti-codon) for a particular amino acid; and 'wobble' base-pairing, i.e. permitting non-standard base-pairing at the 3rd anti-codon position. The record is from RNAcentral. Lineage: Eukaryota; Metazoa; Chordata; Amphibia; Anura; Ranidae.